This 447-nucleotide ribosomal RNA is filed under the name uncultured bacterium. RNAcentral's name for it is "SSU rRNA". It matches the Rfam family "Bacterial small subunit ribosomal RNA", at positions 26 to 518 of the family's 1533-position model. The record is from RNAcentral.
AGAGCGAACGCUGGCGGCAGGCUUAACACAUGCAAGUCGAGCGGGCGUAGCAAUACGUCAGCGGCAGACGGGUGAGUAACGCGUGGGAACGUACCUUUGGUUCGGAACAACCCAGGGAAACUUGGGCUAAUACCGGAUAAGCCCUUACGGGGAAAGAUUUAUCGCCGAAAGAUCGGCCCGCGUCUGAUUAGCUAGUUGGUGAGGUAAUGGCUCACCAAGGCGACGAUCAGUAGCUGGUCUGAGAGGAUGAUCAGCCACAUUGGGACUGAGACACGGCCCAAACUCCUACGGGAGGCAGCAGUGGGGAAUAUUGGACAAUGGGCGCAAGCCUGAUCCAGCCAUGCCGCGUGAGUGAUGAAGGCCCUAGGGUUGUAAAGCUCUUUUGUGCGGGAAGAUAAUGACGGUACCGCAAGGAUAAGCCCCGGCUAACUUCGCGCCAGCAGCCGC